Long non-coding RNA from Mobula hypostoma (lesser devil ray), 359 nucleotides. RefSeq lists it as uncharacterized. Lineage: Eukaryota; Metazoa; Chordata; Chondrichthyes; Myliobatiformes; Myliobatidae. The transcript is spliced from 3 exons. The record is from RefSeq and is a predicted model, not a curated record.
CUGAUGCAGAGUACUGCACAUCGGACAUGUGGAGAUCACACUGGGACCAUGAGGAACACCAGGCCAACAUAGACUCCUUUUCCCAGAUACAGCAAUGAAGGAUCCUUCUACAUCUGAGUGUGAUGGUAUUCCUGAGUCUCCAUCUGGGACUUGCACGACUGACAGAAGUGAAAACUGAGAGGAAGCUGCUGACAUGAUGUCAGAAGCCCUGAACACUGCUGGAGAUGGAGGACCUUCAUUGCUGCCCUAAACCCAGUGGCAUAUUGGGCAGCAAUAGGGUGAUGUUUGAGGCCAUUCUGAAAUAUCAGUCCAUGGCCUCCUCUACUGCCGCCAUGAGGCCACACUCAUGUUGGAGGAGC